GCUUCUUACCCUUCCUUCUCUAUUGUUGCAGGUGCUUCAACCCUUAGCGAACCCUCGCCGCCGACGAAAGAAUGUCGAAAGCUCACGCACACAAACACACACACUCACUCCUCCCGCUCGAGAUCCCGUGCUUCGGCACGGCAGAAACAAGAAAAGCCGGUUUUUUUACUUCGUCCAAAUGAAUCUUCCGCUGGUGUGUGUGCGUGUAUUCGCUCGCAGUUGUGUGCCGUCUUGAGCGUUUGUAAUUUCGUCUUAAGCUUAAAAGCUAACCCUGUAAAAGAUUGCCCAUUCGUACGUGUAUGUGUGUGGCUGUGUGCGUGUAUUCCGCUUGUGGACUGUCCAGAAGUGGCGGCUAUUGUGAGCUUCUUCCUCACGUCGUUGCAUCUUGCGCCCUUAUUGCGCCCGAGCCCGAUACACAAAUAUCAAUGCAGACAUGCAUUUAAAGGCCUUCCCGAGAAUGCACCAGAAUGUGACUGCAUUAAAAUGCAUCUACAGGGGGAAAGGGGAAUUGAUAACAUUAAGAGCCACCGUACGUACGAUAUCACCGAUUCCGCCACCGUUUGGCUCGUGAUCGAGCGACCCGGGGACACGUGCACGUGUACGGGCAAGGAAAGGACAAACACUGACGAAUGUCGGGGGAAUCGCGGCAUAUCGCGGCAGUUGCAGUUGAAGUAGCAGUGCCGCCGCCGUUUUAUUUUAAUUGCCCUGUUGUGUUUUUACAGAUAGGACCAGGUUGUCGGCGCGACCGCGCGGACUGUCUGGACUAGAAGCAUUUCAGCGUGGCGCGAUAGUGUUCUUAUCGAACGGACCAAGUACACCGAUGACAUGACACACAAGAUCUUAUCGGAGAAGGGAGUGCAAGAAUGUGGUAAGGUGUUUUAAGGUUGUUCAAGUCCUAAAGAGGAAGGCAUUUAUUACACCCAUCAGCCUGCCAUGUUCAUUAGUGCAAUCGCCAUUUUUAUGCACUUUUAAUCCGCCACGGAGCGGCUUACCAGCAUCCCGCUAUUUCUCGUUGAAUAGAAAAGUGCAAAAGGAAACUUAUACCACAUUUUAUUCGUACGAUCAGCUCCACGAUCUAAUCCAUAUCUACGUACACGCACAUCGCGAUCAAGUAUGCACGCAACGUCAGGCGCACGGGAGCUCUAGCAGCAUUAGCAGCGGCAGCAGCCUCGCAUUAAAACGAGUUCCCGAACGAUAGCACAUACACUCGACGACCUGGGUUAGUGAACUCUUGCUCUCCUUUCGAUGCCUAGCCCAAACGGGGGAGAAAUUGUUUCGCUUUUUGCCAUCCUUCUUCCCGAAUUCCCUGCCUCGCCUAAUGCAUGAUGUGCUCCACCCGCACUGCCGUGGCCGUCAGCCCGACGAGAGCCUUAGGACCAACGUUCAACAUGUACAGCAAGCAUCAAACCACUCACCUCCCAGGCUCGGACAGUUGUCAGAGCCCUUCGAGAGUCGGGUCGGAGGCGGAGGUUUGGUAGUAAAUUCCUUCCCCGGGCUCUCCGGCACACACACACAAAAAGGGCUACGGCCACUAGUUCACCGCUAAUAGUACAAUGCCGGGGCAGACGACGGCAUCCGCUAGAUGUAUGUACGCUAUCCCGACAUUCGGCAGAGCCGGGAGAAGAGCCGGUAACCCGCUGGCGGUGAAAUAAUCUAAGGCAAAAAAUUAUCCAGCCACGCCAAAGUCUGACCAAAGACCGAAAUAAUAAUAAUAAAACAAGGGGCGGUGAGGGAGAAAACGUUAAACGCAAAA
Anopheles coluzzii is the source of this 1753-nucleotide long non-coding RNA. RefSeq lists it as uncharacterized. The record is from RefSeq and is a predicted model, not a curated record. Lineage: Eukaryota; Metazoa; Arthropoda; Insecta; Diptera; Culicidae. The transcript is spliced from 2 exons.